AAUGCCCCAUGGUGAUGUCCUCAGGCAUCUGAGGUCAUCUAAAGAUCCGUCGGAUGGGGAUAGGCUCGCGUGACAUUAGCUAGACGGCGGGGUAACGGCCCACCGUGGCGACGAUGUCUAGGGGUUCUGAGAGGAAGGUCCCCCACACUGGAACUGAGACACGGUCCAGACUCCUACGGGAGGCAGCAGUGAGGAAUAUUGGUCAAUGGCCGGAAGGCUGAACCAGCCAUGCCGCGUGAAGGUCAGUGCCCUAUGGGCGUUAAACUUCUUUUGUGCGGGAGCAAUAAUGGUCACGUGUGGCCAGACGAGAGUACCGUACGAAUAAGCAUCGGCUAACUCCGUGCCAGCAGCCGCGGUAAUACGGGGGAUGCAAGCGUUAUCCGGAUUUAUUGGGUUUAAAGGGUGCGUAGGCUGUGAGGUAAGUCAGCGGUGAAAUGCCCCCGCUCAACGGGGUGAAGUGCCAUUGAUACUGCCUUGCUGGAAUGCGGAUGCCGUGGGAGGAAUGUGUGGUGUAGCGGUGAAAUGCAUAGAUAUCACACAGAACACCGAUUGCGAAGGCAUCUCACGAAUCCGCGAUUGACGCUGAUGCACGAAAGCGUGGGUAUCAAACAGGAUUAGAUACCCUGGUAGUCCACGCUGUAAACGAUGAUGACUAACCGUCGGCGAUACACAGUCGGUGGCCAAG
Molecule: ribosomal RNA, 685 nt
Filed under: uncultured bacterium
Lineage: Bacteria
Description: bacterial SSU rRNA
Rfam family: Bacterial small subunit ribosomal RNA
Source: RNAcentral